This 864-nucleotide long non-coding RNA is filed under the name Vulpes vulpes (red fox). RNAcentral's name for it is "lncRNA (ENSVVUG00000028207.1)". The record is from RNAcentral. Lineage: Eukaryota; Metazoa; Chordata; Mammalia; Carnivora; Canidae.
UGAAAACAGAGUGGACAAUCAAUAUCUGUAAGAUGAAUGAACGAACAAUGCCAAGCCCUCCCACAGACCAGACACCCGGUCCUCUGAACUGGCCCUCUCCUCCGCGCACUGUGAUGGUGAGCUUCCCGGGAGCUUGCUGAGCGGGGGGCUAGCACGCAUUAAGUUUUAUCCUCACUGUAAUGCUACUGUGGAUUCUGUUAGUAGCACCCUUUCGUUGAAGAGGAAAGUGGGACUUACUUAAGAGCUACGUAGUGACUUUCUCAAAGUAACACAGCUUGACAGAGAGAUCGUGCCAUGGAAACAAGAGGGAAGAAAUCUGAAGCAAAGGGACCCUGUCUGGGAAAAGCCACAGAAGUCAACAAGAGCAAUCCAAAGCAAGGUGACCACUAGAGAAGCUGCAGAACAAAAAGCCCCAGUUCGUUACCAGGUUAAAGCAGGGAUAUUUCUGAGCCUAGCCAUCAUUUUGGGUCUUCCGGCAAAAUAGUGAAGCUCCUGAGCUUGUGACUCCAGAGUGACAAUCACUAACAGAUGCAUUGGUACUUGGGCAGAAUUGGCCUUUAAUUGUUGCUUGUAGGAGAAAGGAAAAGCGACUAGCAGCACCGUUCUCUGUUGCUGGCAGAUAACAAACUCAAGAUGAAGCCACAUUUACAGGGGAGAAAUUGCUUACGCCCACAGAAUGAAAUUUCAGGCUUUGACAGCUGCUAGGUAAGUAAAUGAGAAUCAUUUUAUUCUGGGUAAGUGCAACACAGCACAUCUUGAACAAUGAGGAGUUGAUGGCCCGAGGGCGGUGACACCCAGGUUGUGCGCAUUCAGAAGAGUCUCCUAGGAGAAGAACCGGGGAACAAGUGGCCAAACAAUUGUCCC